This 253-nucleotide ribosomal RNA is filed under the name uncultured bacterium. Its description in RNAcentral is "partial 16S ribosomal RNA". It matches the Rfam family "Bacterial small subunit ribosomal RNA", at positions 524 to 776 of the family's 1533-position model. The record is from RNAcentral.
UACGUAGGGCGCAAGCGUUGUCCGGAAUUAUUGGGCGUAAAGAGCUCGUAGGCGGUUUGUCGCGUCUGCUGUGAAAACCCGGGGCUCAACCCCGGGCUUGCGGUCGAUACGGGCAGGCUCGAGUUCGGUAGGGGAGACUGGAAUUCCUGGUGUAGCGGUGAAAUGCGCAGAUAUCAGGAGGAACACCUGAGGUGAAGACGGGUUGCUGGGCUGACACUGACGCUGAGGCGCGAAAGCCAGGGGAGCAAACGGG